RNAcentral lists this ribosomal RNA (785 nucleotides) under Salmonella enterica subsp. enterica serovar Schwarzengrund. RNAcentral describes it as "partial 23S ribosomal RNA". It matches the Rfam family "Bacterial large subunit ribosomal RNA", at positions 2158 to 2925 of the family's 2925-position model. Lineage: Bacteria; Pseudomonadati; Pseudomonadota; Gammaproteobacteria; Enterobacterales; Enterobacteriaceae. The record is from RNAcentral.
UGAAGUGUGGACGCCAGUCUGCAUGGAGCCGGCCUUGAAAUACCACCCUUUAAUGUUUGAUGUUCUAACGUGGACCCGUGAUCCGGGUUGCGGACAGUGUCUGGUGGGUAGUUUGACUGGGGCGGUCUCCUCCUAAAGAGUAACGGAGGAGCACGAAGGUUGGCUAAUCCUGGUCGGACAUCAGGAGGUUAGUGCAAUGGCAUAAGCCAGCUUGACUGCGAGCGUGACGGCGCGAGCAGGUGCGAAAGCAGGUCAUAGUGAUCCGGUGGUUCUGAAUGGAAGGGCCAUCGCUCAACGGAUAAAAGGUACUCCGGGGAUAACAGGCUGAUACCGCCCAAGAGUUCAUAUCGACGGCGGUGUUUGGCACCUCGAUGUCGGCUCAUCACAUCCUGGGGCUGAAGUAGGUCCCAAGGGUAUGGCUGUUCGCCAUUUAAAGUGGUACGCGAGCUGGGUUUAGAACGUCGUGAGACAGUUCGGUCCCUAUCUGCCGUGGGCGCUGGAGAACUGAGGGGGGCUGCUCCUAGUACGAGAGGACCGGAGUGGACGCAUCACUGGUGUUCGGGUUGUCAUGCCAAUGGCACUGCCCGGUAGCUAAAUGCGGAAGAGAUAAGUGCUGAAAGCAUCUAAGCACGAAACUUGCCCCGAGAUGAGUUCUCCCUGAGACUUAGAGUCUCCUGAAGGAACGUUGAAGACGACGACGUUGAUAGGCCGGGUGUGUAAGCGCAGCGAUGCGUUGAGCUAACCGGUACUAAUGAACCGUGAGGCUUAACCUUACAACGCCGAAG